Molecule: transfer RNA, 72 nt
Filed under: Spirochaetaceae bacterium
Lineage: Bacteria; Pseudomonadati; Spirochaetota; Spirochaetia; Spirochaetales; Spirochaetaceae
Description: tRNA-His
Rfam family: tRNA
About the family: Transfer RNA (tRNA) molecules are approximately 80 nucleotides in length. Their secondary structure includes four short double-helical elements and three loops (D, anti-codon, and T loops).
Source: RNAcentral
GUGCCUGUAGUUCAGUGGUAGAGCGCUGGAUUGUGGAUCCAGUUGUCGUGGGUUCGAACCCCAUCAGGCACC